AUUAGAUGAGCCUAUAUUAGAUUAGCUAGUUGGUGGAGUAAUAGCCUACCAAGGCAAUGAUCUAUAGCUGAUCUGAGAGGAUGAUCAGCCACACUGGAACUGAGAUACGGUCCAGACUCCUACGGGAGGCAGCAGUGGGGAAUAUUGGACAAUGGGCGAAAGCCUGAUCCAGCCAUGCCGCAUGAGUGAAGAAGGCCUUUGGGUUGUAAAGCUCUUUUAGUGAGGAAGAUAAUGACGGUACUCACAGAAGAAGUCCUGGCUAACUCCGUGCCAGCAGCCGCGGUAAUACGGAGAGGGCUAGCGUUAUUCGGAAUUAUUGGGCGUAAAGGGCGCGUAGGCUGAUUAAUAAGUUAAAAGUGAAAUCCCGAGGCUUAACCUUGGAAUUGCUUUUAAAACUAUUAAUCUAGAGAUUGAAAGAGGAUAGAGGAAUUCCUGAUGUAGAGGUAAAAUUCGUAAAUAUUAGGAGGAACACCAGUGGCGAAGGCGUCUAUCUGGUUCAAAUCUGACGCUGAGGCGCGAAGGCGUGGGGAGCAAACAGGAUUAGAUACCCUGGUAGUCCACGCUAUAAACGAUGAAUGUUAAAUAUGGGAAG
Molecule: ribosomal RNA, 592 nt
Filed under: Wolbachia sp.
Lineage: Bacteria; Pseudomonadati; Pseudomonadota; Alphaproteobacteria; Rickettsiales; Anaplasmataceae
Description: bacterial SSU rRNA
Rfam family: Bacterial small subunit ribosomal RNA
Source: RNAcentral